CCUACGGGUGGCAGCAGUGAGGAAUAUUGGACAAUGGGCGAGAGCCUGAUCCAGCCAUGCCGCGUGCAGGAAGACGGCCCUAUGGGUUGUAAACUGCUUUUAUACGGGAAGAAACACCCCUUCGUGAAGGGACUUGACGGUACCGUAUGAAUAAGGAUCGGCUAACUCCGUGCCAGCAGCCGCGGUAAUACGGAGGAUCCAAGCGUUAUCCGGAAUCAUUGGGUUUAAAGGGUCCGUAGGCGGGACAAUAAGUCAGUGGUGAAAGUCUGCAGCUUAACUGUAGAAUUGCCGUUGAAACUGUUGUUCUUGAGUAAUUAUGAAGUGGUUAGAAUAUGUAGUGUAGCGGUGAAAUGCAUAGAUAUUACAUAGAAUACCGAUUGCGAAGGCAGAUCACUAAUAAUUCACUGACGCUGAUGGACGAAAGCGUAGGUAGCGAACAG
This 440-nucleotide ribosomal RNA is filed under the name uncultured bacterium. RNAcentral's name for it is "bacterial SSU rRNA". It matches the Rfam family "Bacterial small subunit ribosomal RNA", at positions 338 to 775 of the family's 1533-position model. The record is from RNAcentral.